Molecule: ribosomal RNA, 253 nt
Filed under: uncultured bacterium
Lineage: Bacteria
Description: partial 16S ribosomal RNA
Rfam family: Bacterial small subunit ribosomal RNA
Source: RNAcentral
UACGUAGGGUCCGAGCGUUGUCCGGAUUUAUUGGGCGUAAAGGGCUCGUAGGUGGCCAACUAAGUCGGACGUGAAAUCCCUCAGCUUAACUGGGGAACUGCGUCCGAUACUGGAUGGCUUGAGUUUGGGAGAGGGAUGCGGAAUUCCAGGUGUAGCGGUGAAAUGCGUAGAUAUCUGGAGGAACACCGGUGGCGAAGGCGGCAUCCUGGACCAACACUGACACUGAGGAGCGAAAGCCAGGGGAGCAAACGGG